CCUACUUUGUUGGCCUAAUUACCGUUAACGUCAGUGUUGGUGGUUAGUCAAAAACGUUCAGUGCUGUAACUAGCUAUACUUGCAUAAUUAUGUGGUUUUCAAAGAAAAGUGUGAUCUAAUCAUUUUAGACUGCACUCCUUUGGAUGAAGAAGGCUACCCGUGUAUACAUGUGUGAACCAUUUCUUGUGUUGGAAAAACAGGAGACCUGAAGAGCUCUUGAUGCUUUUGGUUUGCCUCAUCCAUUAUGUCAGCAAAGAACAGGAGUGGGCAGGAAACAUGCGCUGUUGAAAACAUGGCCAACCAACUGGAGCACCCACAAGGCUCUUGUGAAGGAAGUCCACAAGCCUUUGUGCUUCAGGAUGGAUGGAAAGAACUCUUUGAUCAACCCCCACAGAGAGCUGAGGUGGCUAUCUUUUGGAGACACCCCCGGCUGGUAGUGCUGCUGAAACUGGUGGAGGCAACAAUGAAGCGGCAACAGAAAGAGAAGGCAGGUGGCAAAGGUUGCUGCUAUUGAAAAAUACUUUGAGAGUGAGUGUGUGUGCAUGUUGUAGGUCAUGGUACAUGGUACAAAAAUACAGAAUUUAAAGCACUAGCACAACACUUAACUCACAACCCACAACUACUGACAAUGGAAUUACUCUUUUAGAAUGAGUGAGGGAGAGAGAUAAAAUGUUUAAUGUUAAUUUAGAAUAAUUUAUUUCUUUGAAUCAUUAUACAGUUUUAAAAUGUUUAAUUGUUUGUGUUUUUGUAUAUGAAAGAUGUCGAUUGUUGUAGAUAAAAGUAGCUUGUAUAUUUUAACUUGUUUAAUUUCUAAAGUGUAUAUAUGUAAAAGCUUGUAUAAUUUUUAAAUGUUUGUUUUAUUUGCAAGGUUGUGUUUGUCAAACUUGUUAAUAAAAGUAGCUUGUGCUUUUAAUUACUAGUUCUGGAUUUGUGUUUAUUUUCAAGUACUUUUGGUAGUUAAUGGGCCACAUGUGGCCCGGGGACCCAGCCGACAUUCAGCCAACACUCAGUCAGAUCAGUUUUAUAGUGC
This is a long non-coding RNA of Alosa alosa (allis shad), 1030 nucleotides long. RefSeq lists it as uncharacterized. Lineage: Eukaryota; Metazoa; Chordata; Actinopteri; Clupeiformes; Clupeidae. The record is from RefSeq and is a predicted model, not a curated record. The transcript has 4 exons.